UAAGGUUCGAUUCGAGCGACAGCGAGAAAGCGUUGCCGCAGGCAACGACCCGAAGGGCGAAGCGCGCAGCGCUGAGUCAUCCUUCCCCCACCACCA
RNAcentral lists this small RNA (96 nucleotides) under Salmonella enterica subsp. enterica serovar Enteritidis. RNAcentral describes it as "partial RtT sRNA". It matches the Rfam family "RtT RNA", at positions 37 to 130 of the family's 130-position model. From Rfam's summary of the family: This family represents a bacterial cis-regulatory element known as RtT RNA. The record is from RNAcentral. Lineage: Bacteria; Pseudomonadati; Pseudomonadota; Gammaproteobacteria; Enterobacterales; Enterobacteriaceae.